RNAcentral lists this ribosomal RNA (292 nucleotides) under uncultured bacterium. RNAcentral describes it as "partial 16S ribosomal RNA". The record is from RNAcentral.
GGACUACUGGGGUAUCUAAUCCUGUUUGAUCCCCGCACUUUCGAGUCUCAGUGUCAAUGUUGGGCCAGAUCGCCGCCUUCGCCACCGGUGUUCCUCCAGAUAUCUACGUAUUUCACCACUACACCUGGAAUUCCACGAUCCUCUCCCACAUUCAAGCUUCGCAGUAUCAAAAGCACUUCCAAGGUUAAGCCUUGGGCUUUCACUCCUGACUUACAAAGCCACCUACACUCGCUUUACGCCCAAUGAUUCCGAGCAACGCUUGGACCCCUCGUCUUACCGCGGCUGCUGGCAC